GCCUGAGUUUAUAUAUGGGUAAGUUGUGAGCGUGAGAAAAAAAAUCAAAGGUCUUUGAAGUUUUCUAAAACGCAUUCAGCACCAGAUGUUGCACGGGCUCCAGCCGGGUAUAUAUAAAAGGAAUAUUUUUUAUUCAACCGUUAUUACGCAAAAUGGAGCCCAAUGAGAAGGAAAAGAAAAUGUAAGUACCCUUAUACAUGUACAUUUUAAAAUUUAUUUCGACAGUGUUAGUAGUUAAGGAAACAGAACUUAAAAACAUUUUGAUGUUGAGUCAUUGCAAUUUUUAGUAGCUAACCAGCUGAUAUCUGAUAUCUUUAUAGACCAUAAUGGCAAAAUAUUUCAAUAGCCCAGGUCAUAAUAAAUUGUGAAUAAAAAAAUGAUUUAUUUUAAGAGUAUUUUAGGGGUUUGAGGGUUAAUGUAUAUAAAUGGUCUUUAACGUCCAGUGGCAAGUUAAAUAAAUAUUCAGGACGAGAACAUUAGGGACGACAUCAAAAGUUCAAUGAAGGAUAAAAAACUUAAUUCAAAUAGUUUUUUCACUGACCCCCUACCCCCUAUUAACUUAAUUUGGGAAAAAUUGAUUGACCCAUAUGGAUAUAUGUAAAAAUCAAUGUCGGAUAACCAAAUCUUGCAGCAGUUCAACCCCCACCCCCAAACUAUUUGAAUUAAGUUUUUUUUAUCUUACAUUGAUCUUUUGAUGUCGUCCCUUAAUAUAAUAAGAUAUGAAUGUUUUACCCUGUUUUGUGCAAGAAUUUCGAAAACGAUUCCACUCUGGUUUUUGUCUAUGUAUUUCUAUUUGUAUCCAUCUGAUGAGUUAAGCCCUUUUCAAUUGAUUUUUAUAGUUCGUUC
This 846-nucleotide long non-coding RNA is filed under the name Mytilus galloprovincialis (Mediterranean mussel). Lineage: Eukaryota; Metazoa; Mollusca; Bivalvia; Mytilida; Mytilidae. The record is from RNAcentral.